Cydia fagiglandana is the source of this 821-nucleotide long non-coding RNA. RefSeq lists it as uncharacterized. Lineage: Eukaryota; Metazoa; Arthropoda; Insecta; Lepidoptera; Tortricidae. The transcript has 2 exons. The record is from RefSeq and is a predicted model, not a curated record.
AUCAGAUAUAUGGGAGCGGCGAAGGCGCUCACAAAUAUCUGAACACGCCUCUAUUGUGAGAGCGUUAGAGUUGCGUGUUCAGAUAUUGUGAACACCUUGGCCGCUCCGAUAUAUCUGAUGGCGAUUGUACAAGGGUGCCAUUGUAAGUAAAAUCCGCCGCACACACGUCCGCGUUAGACAGCGUUUCUCAUAUAGGGACUAUUUUUCCUUAACCUUUUGGACGCCAAUGACCGAUAUAUCCGCACCGGCCAAAGACUGAUUAAUCGAUCACAGACCACAGAGCAACGUAGACCUACGUGGAUAUGCAAAGAGUUCAAUUUCAAUUUUGACACUUCGGUGACGUGGCGUCCGGGUGACUGCUUUUGUGUUUGACACGGCGUCGAAAAGGUUAACCCGGUCACAGCUAGCGGACGCCCUAACAUGGCACAUCCUUUGCGUUAUGUAUGUUAUGGGGUUACUUCAACCAAAGAGCUCUUUUGAUGUAGUUUAUGUCCAUUUAACAAUAAAUUAAUAAUUAUAUUGGGGACACUCUAAGGUACGACAUCUAAUAGGCGAUGAUAUACAUACCUACACUCUGAUAAAUACAUACAUUAUCAUAUUUGAAACCCGUGACCAUGAAAUUAACCUAUAUUAUUAUAUUACAUCUAAAUUUACCGUAACCUUAUAUCCGUAGUGUAGUUAGUAAUUAUUAGAAACGAUAUGAUUUAGAGACAAUUUUAUUUAUAAGUAAAAAUAUUAUCAUAAUAUAAUUAUAUUAAUUAUGUAAAAAUAUAACGAUGUCAUUAUUGUGAUGGAGAAAAUAAAUAAAUGUCUUUUUUUAA